RNAcentral lists this ribosomal RNA (315 nucleotides) under uncultured bacterium. RNAcentral's name for it is "bacterial SSU rRNA". It matches the Rfam family "Bacterial small subunit ribosomal RNA", at positions 28 to 327 of the family's 1533-position model. The record is from RNAcentral.
GAUGAACGCUGGCGGCGUGCUUAACACAUGCAAGUCGAACGAGGAUUUAACGGAAUGCGAUUCGUCAAAUGAAAUUAAAUCCGAGUGGCGGACGGGUGAGUAACGCGUGGAUAACCUGCCUCACACAGGGGGACAACAGUUGGAAACGACUGCUAAUACCGCAUAAUACAAGUAAUUCGCAUGAAUAACUUGCCAAAGAUUAUAUCGGUGUGAGAUGGAUCCGCGUCUGAUUAGCCAGUUGGCGGGUAACGGCCCACCAAAGCGACGAUCAGUAGCCGACCUGAGAGGGUGACCGGCACAUUGGGACUGAGACAC